GGGAUAACACUGACGUUCAUGCCCGAAAGCGUGGGUAGCAAACAGGAUUAGAUACCNUGGUAGUCCACGCCCUAAACGGUGUCGAUUAGCUGUUGGGCAGCAUGACUGCUUAGUAGCGAAGCUAACGCGUGAAAUCGACCGCCUGGGGAGUACGGUCGCAAGAUUAAAACUCAAAGGAAUUGACGGGGACCCGCACAAGCGGUGGAUGAUGUGGAUUAAUUCGAUGCAACGCGAAGAACCUUACCUGGUCUUGACAUGUACGGAACCCUCCAGAGACGGAGGAGUGCCUUCGGGAGCCGUAACACAGGUGCUGCAUGGCUGUCGUCAGCUCGUGUCGUGAGAUGUUGGGUUAAGUCCCGCAACGAGCGCAACCCUUGUCAUUAGUUGCCAUCAUUAAGUUGGGCACUCUAAUGAGACUGCCGGUGACAAGCCGGAGGAAGGUGGGGAUGACGUCAAGUCCUCAUGGCCCUUAUGACCAGGGCUUCACACGUCAUACAAUGGUCGGUACAGAGGGUAGCCAAGCCGCGAGGCGGAGCCAAUCUCACAAAACCGAUCGUAGUCCGGAUUGCACUCUGCAACUCGAGUGCAUGAAGUCGGAAUCGCUAGUAAUCGCAGGUCAGCAUACUGCGGUGAAUACGUUCCCGGGUCUUGUNC
Molecule: ribosomal RNA, 654 nt
Filed under: uncultured bacterium
Lineage: Bacteria
Description: bacterial SSU rRNA
Rfam family: Bacterial small subunit ribosomal RNA
Source: RNAcentral